RNAcentral lists this long non-coding RNA (397 nucleotides) under Anas platyrhynchos platyrhynchos (common mallard). RNAcentral describes it as "lncRNA (ENSAPLG00000024893.1)". Lineage: Eukaryota; Metazoa; Chordata; Aves; Anseriformes; Anatidae. The record is from RNAcentral.
AUGCAUUUGCUAACAAGCAGGGGAUUAGAAAAGCUCUGGAAAACACAAGCACGUCUAGCAAAAUAUCCUGGUGAUCUUAUGUGUUCCAUCACAGUGGAUGUGAACAUGCUGGUUGUGAAAUCCCUGAUCGGGAGCUCCAAACAAAGGAUGAAUGGUGUGCUUGGAUCUCUUUUCUUUGAAUUUACACAAAGUAUCACAAGUAAUGACUUCAUCUUUCCUGGAAGAAGCCAACAAGCCUCUGGCAACCUGUGGUCUGUGCAGAAAGAUCCUUACUCUGGGUUAUAUGAAAGUAAAUCAGGAGUUUCAUAACUGCAGGAUCCAGACAAGAGAAAUUGAAAGCAGUCUUGAACUUACCAAGAUACAAAGCAAAAAUAAAAUCUUAUCCUGACUGUAGCCA